AUUAGUCGAUAUAAGAACAGUGGGCAUAGAUUAAUUUCAGGGAUCUGAUUGUAAGCUACGUUCGAGCAUGCCAGAGGUUCAUAAUCAGACGAAGAUAGGAUCAAAGCAAUCAGAUACGUGGUAGUCCUUCAUAAACCUAGCCGACUAGGAUGGAUGGAACAUCCCCAUUUCAGUCCUAUGAGAAUCAAAGUCUUGGGUUCUGGGGGGAGUAUGGUCGCAAGACUGAAACCUGAGAGAAGUGGCGGGAGGGCACCACCAGGAGUGCAGCCUGCGGCUUAAUUGACAAAACAAAGAGGAAAGCGUGACCAGGUCCCGCAUGUAGCUGCUGCGCGGGCGGCGCGGGCCUGAUUCUAUGGGUGGUGGUGCAUGGCCGUCUAGUUGGUGGAGUGAUUUGUCUGGUUAAUUCCGAUAACGAACGAGACCUUAACCUGCUAACUAGAUUCGAUCAUCUUAUGGUCGUUAUCAUAAUAAGAAAGAAAUAUGUAACAUAAAUACAUGGAAGUUUGAGGCAAUAACAGGUCAGUGAUGCCCUUAUAUGUCCUGGGCUGCACGCGUGCUACACUGAUGUAUACAACAAGUGCCUAGUCAGACAUGACAUGGCAAUCUCGAAUAUGCAUCGUGAUGGGGAUAGAUCUUUGCAAUUAUAGAUCUUGAACGAGGAAUUCCUAGUAUGUGCAAGUCAUCAGGGUAAGAAUAAAUUAUGUCCCUGCCCUUUGUACACACCGCCCGUCGCUCCUACCGAUACCGGGUGAUCCGGUGAACCUGUUGGACCCUUUUAAAAACAAGUAAAUCAAUCACCAGAGGAAGGAGAC
This 812-nucleotide ribosomal RNA is filed under the name uncultured rumen protozoa. RNAcentral's name for it is "bacterial SSU rRNA". It matches the Rfam family "Eukaryotic small subunit ribosomal RNA", at positions 629 to 1787 of the family's 1831-position model. The record is from RNAcentral.